AUUGAACGCUGGCGGCAUGCUUUACACAUGCAAGUCGAACGGCAGCACGGGUGCUUGCACCUGGUGGCGAGUGGCGGACGGGUGAGUAAUACAUCGGAACGUGUCCAGAAGAGGGGGAUAACGCAUCGAAAGAUGUGCUAAUACCGCAUAUGCUCUGAGGAGGAAAGUGGGGGAUCGAAAGACCUUACGCUUUUGGAGCGGCCGAUGUCUGAUUAGCUAGUUGGUGGGGUAAGGGCCUACCAAGGCGACGAUCAGUAGUUGGUCUGAGAGGACGACCAGCCACACUGGGACUGAGACACGGCCCAGACUCCUACGGGAGGCAGCAGUGGGGAAUUUUGGACAAUGGGCGCAAGCCUGAUCCAGCAAUGCCGCGUGAGUGAAGAAGGCC
Molecule: ribosomal RNA, 388 nt
Filed under: uncultured bacterium
Lineage: Bacteria
Description: bacterial SSU rRNA
Rfam family: Bacterial small subunit ribosomal RNA
Source: RNAcentral